GUGUGGCCUGUCUUAUAUAAUAGAACGGAGAGGGCUCAUUGGGAGAAUUUGAUCAAACCAAAGAAUAGCAUUAUCAAGCUUAUUGGAAUCAAUUGGGGGUGUCAAACCUUCUAUCUCAAGGAUCUUAUCUGAAAAGAGAUCCAUUACUCUUUUCUUUCCUUCUUUACCAUUUGUGCAACCGAUAUAGUGAUCGUAAUCACACCAAGAGAGGACAUGCCACACAUCCUCCUCUUUUACGAUGGCCUACUCCCAACGACUGAAGUUGCACUGAUCUCGAAGUGAUUCAUAGAGGUCAUGAUACCGGCUGACAGAUCUUUUCUCCCGGUGCGUGAAAUGAGGCCUUAACAAUCAUCAGCUAGUUUGUCUUUGGACAAACUAUCGAGGAAAAUCAUAGAAGUGUGACCUGUGUUGCAGAAACGGUCGAUAAUUGUGAUAAACAUAACCUGAUAAAAUUAAAGUGCGAGAUAUUUGAUCGAACACGAACUGAGCAUACUGGGGACUAGAAUGGUUCAGGGGUGAUGGUUUCGGAAGGAAAAAACAUGUGAGGUAAGUGAUGUUAAAGCAUGAUUUUUAAAGGGUCGCAAGUAAUAAGAUAAGGAUCGAAGAUAUGGCUGGGCUAUAUACAGUUUUUAUAGAAAACGCUCGGUGAUGGUCUGAGGAGGGGAAAACAUUUGAUGUAAGUAAUGUUAAAGCAUGGUUUUUACAGAGUCGCACGUAAUAAUUAAGAUAAGGAUCGAUGAUAUGGCCGGGCUAGAUACAGUUUUCCUAGAAAACGCUCGGGUGAUGAUCUCAGGAGGAUAAUACAUACUCCCUCUGUCCCAUUUAAUUCUAUACGUUUCUUUUUAACUGCUCGACACGCAUUCCAAUGCUCUUAUAAAAUAUAGUUCCACAACUUUUUUUUGAGAUUUUCUUUUUCUGUAUAAAAAUAUAACAUCCAAACUUUAAUUCAGAAAAGAAAAAUUUUAAAAAUAUAUUGCACAACUACAUUUUGCAGGAGCAUUAAAGUCCGUGCCGCGUCCCCGUCCCCCAAUGUACACUACUCAGGGGGACGGAGGGAGUAUGAGGUAAGUGAUGUUAAAACAUGGCUUUUAAAGAAUCACAUAUAAUAAGAUAAGGAUCGAAGAUAUGGCCGGGCUAGAUACAGUUUCCCCAGAAAACGCUGAAACUGAUUCCGUCAUAAAAUAUAUCUCUUUUAACUUACUUUAUCGGUUUUUUUUUAUAACUGACUUCCACUUUUUGCAUGCACGCGUGUUUUGUUUGGGGGUGAUUUUUUUUACGGAUAUCUAUCAAUUGAAUGCUCAAAUUUAAUAUAAUUUUAAUUCGAAUUCCCAAGAUUUAAAUUUAUUAUUUUCAUGUCGCCUUUGCCUUCUUAAGUUUGUUGGAAGCUAUCAUGAAUUAUUAUUAUGUGGUAGUAUUGCUCGUUCAUGUAACUUUAAAAUGAUGACUUAAAAUUUAUAAUGAUUUAACAGUUUUUCUCUGGUGUGCCCGUGGGCACACACUUAGUGCGAAAUUUUUUGUGUUUAGAUCAUUUUGAUUGGCUCCUACUUCUUAAUAAUGGUGGACUCCCCUGUAAAUACACCAACCACACCAAUCAAAAUGAUCUAAAUGAAAAAAUUUCCGCGCUUAGCAUGUGCCGAUAGGCACACAGUAGACAAACCCAUGAUCUAAUGUGAUGCACCGUCUAAAUUAUCUUUGUGAUUAAAUUUACAUUACAGGUGACUUGAAGCAUCUCUAAUUUUAUAAAAAGUUUAGCAGAAUAUCUAGGUAGCAGGUCAUAAAUAGAAAAUAUAUAAUCUACAGGAUGUCAGAUGUUUAUGAAUAUUAUAGGAUAAAAAAAAUUAGAUUUAAAUGACUAGAUUGUAUUAUAUCCAAUUUUGUAUUCCAAUACUACAAGAUUUUUGUGUACUCCAAAGAACUUGACCCCGACACAUACAUAUUUUUUUUUGAACAUGAUUUUCCUUGACAUUUUGUUAUUAAUCCAACCAUGUUUCAUAAAUCAUCUUGGAGGUUCUUAACAACCACAACUAUCUAAGUCUGCAAAAGAUAGCCGAGCUUAGUUUUGUCUGGACAAAGCCGAUUUUAACUUCUUCUUUUUUUGAAACUAGUCGAGUCGAUUCGAUUUUAACUUCUUCUCUAAUAAAUUUGAAAGAUUGUUCAGCUUAAAAACAACCAUCGAUCCUCGUACAUGUCUGUUGAUGACAAAUAUUUUAUUACUUUUUGUCAUAAUUUCUUAAGACUAGUGUUCAACAAAUCAGUCUCGCCAAUUGUGUAGGCGGCACCGAAACGACCUUGUGCAAAGAUAGACAGCGAAUUAGACAAUUUCUACAUACAAAAAUCGGUUGAUAUUUGUGCUACACGGUUAAUUUAACAUCCCGCCUAGACAGUCUAGGUGGUCAAUAAGAAAAAAUAAUAUCAAUAACUAAAAUUUAAAAUAUUUAUAAUAAUCAGAAGAAAUUAAGUAGUGUCUUAUACUUAACUUUAUAUUUUAUUGAAAAAUUAAAGUAACUAAUUUUUAUUUCAUUUACAUUAUGUGUAAGAGAUGUAUUGAUAUAUAUUUAUUUUGUUAGUGAUCUUGUGUUAUAUGUCAAGAAUUUAUUUCAUAUAUGAUAUUAUAUUAUGUACAAGUCAAAUAUUAUACUGGCAGUAAAAGAUUAAAAAAAAAAUAUAUUAUGUAUACUUAUAAUAAUUUAAAAUUAAUAUGUAUAUGAUUAAUACUCCCAUUAAUCUUUGCAAUUAAUCCAUGAUUUUUCUUUUAAUUGCUAAAAGGGAAGCCUAACGGCUUUUACCAAGCUGCUUAAAUUUGUAAGAUUUCUGUAUUAGAAUUAAACAUAAUAUGAAAGUACUCCCUAUGUCCCUCUCAUUUCUCUACGUUGCUUUUCGGCACGCUUUUCCACACUCAUUUAAAUUAUAGUUCCAUAAUAUAUUUUUUUAAUUUUUUUUCUUUGAAUAAAAGUUUGAUACUUAAACUUUUAUUCAAAAAAGAAAAUUUUAGAAAAAAAUUAUGCAACUAUACUUUAUAGGAGUCUCAAAAUGCGUGCAAACAGUGAACGUAAACAACCACGGAGAUGGAGGAGUAUAAAAUUAUUUCUAUCAUGAAGUAUUCGGAAUUCCUGAAGUAACGAGUGAGUAAAAGGGACAACGAUUUAGUUCUUUCAUCAUAUGUAUCAUCUCCAUAUGUUCCGUGUGGAAUUACAUUUGAAUAAAAGCAUUCUUUCGCCAACAUUUCUGUGUGCAGCCUGUUAAGAGGUGAUUGCAAAAUGUUGUGUAGCUUUCCUUUUUGUAUAUAUUAAAAUAUCAGAGAAAAACGAGUACAGGAAAUUUAUUUUCAGUGAAAGCACCAGAAGCUUUUCGUGUUUAUACAGUUUGGAAGAACAAGAUGGGAACAUAAUCAUCAUGGUUAAACUAAUCUACCAGCAGAGCAUUGAUUCGUUAUAAUAAUUAAUACAGGAGAAGCUUAUGAGAACAAAAUAUAGAAAACGCUGAAACUCAUUCCGUCAUAAAAUAUAUCUCUGUAACUUACUUUACCGGUUUCUUUUUUAUAACUGACUACCACUUUUUGCAUGCACGCGUGUUUUGUUUGGGGGUGAUUAUUUUUUACGGAUAUCUAUCAAUUGAAUGCUCAAAUUUAAAAUAAUUUUAAUUCGGAUUCCCAAGAUUUAAAUUUUUUAUUUUCAUGUCGCCUCUGCCUUCUUAAGUUUGUUGGAAUUUAUCAUGAAUUAUUAUUAUGUUGUAGUAUUGCUCGUUCAUGUAACUUUAAAAUGAUGACCUAAAAUUUAUAAUGAUUUAACAGUUUUUCUAUGGUGUGCCCGUAGGCACAUGCUAAGCGCGGAAAUUUUUGUGUUUAGAUUAUUUUCAUUGGCUUCUACUUCUUAAUAAUGGUGGACCCCUAAAUACAUUAACCAUACCAAUCAAAAUGAUCUAAAUGCCAAAAUUUCCGCGCUCAGCAUGUGCCCAUGGACACCCAGCAGACAAACCCCUGAUUUAAUGCAUGUCAUGCACCGUCUAAAUUAUCUUUUACAGGUGACUUAAAGAAUCUCCAAUUUUAUAAAAAGUUUAGCAAAAUAUCUAGGUAGCAUGUCAUAAAUAGAAAAUAUAUAAUCUACAGGAUGUCAGAUGUCUAUGAAUAUUAUAGGAUAAAAAAAUUAAAUUGAAAUGACUAGAUUGUAUUUUUCCAAUUUUGUACUCCAAUACUACAAGAUUUUUGUGUACUCCUAAGAACUUGACCCCCGACACGUACAUUUUUUUUUAUGAACAUGAUUUCCCUUUACAUUUUGUUAUUAAUCCAACCGCGUUUCAUAAAUCAUCUUGGAAGUUCUUAACAACCACAACUAUCUAAGUCUGCGAAAGAUAGUCGAGCUUAGUUUUGUCUGGACCAAGCCGAUUUUAAGUUCUUCUUUUUUUGAAAUUAGUCGAGUCGAUUCGAUUUUAACUUCUUCUCUAAUAAAUUUGAAAGAUUGUUCAGCUAAAAAAACAACCAUCGAUCCUCCUACAUGUCCGUUGAUAACAAUUAUUUUAUUACUUUUUGUCAUAAUUUCUUGAGACUAUUGUCUUACAAAUCAGUCUCGCCAAUUGUGUAGGCGGCACCGAAACGUCCUUGUGCAAACAUAGACAGCGAAUUAGACAGUUUCUACAUACAAAAAUCGGUUGAUAUUUGUCCUUUACAGUUAAUUUAACAUCCCGCCUAGACAGUCUAGGUGGUCAAUAAAAAAAAUAUUAUAAAUAACUAAACUUUAAAAUAUUUAUAAUAAUCAUAAGAAAUUAAGUAGUGUCUUAUACUUAACUUUAUAUUUUAUUUAAAAAUUAAAGUAACUAAUUUUUAUUCAAUUCAUAUUAUGUGUAAGAGAUGUAUUGAUAUAUAUUUAUUUUGUUAGUGAUCUUGUGUUGUAUGUCAAGAAUUUAUUUCGUAUAUGAUAUUAUAUUAUGUGCAAGUCAAAUACUUUAUUGGCACUUUGGCAGUAAAAAAUAAUAUAUAUAUAUAUAUAUAUAUAUAUAUAUAUAUUAUGUAUACUUAUAAUAAUUUAAAAUAAAUAUGUAUAUGAUUAAUACUCCCAUUAAUCUUUGAAAUUAAUCCAUGAUUUUCCUAUUAAUUGCUAGAGUGGAAGCCUGACGGCUUUUACGAAGCUGCUUAAAUUUGUAAGAUUUCUGUAUUAGAAUUAAACAUAAUAUGAAAGUAUAAGAUUAUUUUGAUCAUUAAGCAUUCGGAAUUCCUGAUGUAAUUGUAAAUAGGAUAUAACGAUUUUGUUCUUUGAUCAUAUGUAUCAUCUCCAUAUAAUAUUCAGUGGAAUUACAUAUGAAUAAAAGCAUUCUUUCGCCAACAUUUCUGUGUGGAGGUUAAUUUAGAGGUGAUUGCAAAAUGUUGUCCAGCUUUCCUUUUUGCAUAUCUCAAAACAUCAGAGAAGGAGAACAGGAAAUUUGUUUCCAGAGAUAACACUAGAAGCUUUCCGUGUUUAUACAGCUUGGAAGAACAAGGAUAUGAACAUAAUCAUCAUGGUUAAAUUAAUCUACCAGUAGAGCAUUGAUUCUUUAUAAUACUCUUUAUAAUACAAUAGAAGCUCACUUAUGAGAACAAACUACUAAAAAAUGUUUCUAGUACAUUUCUAGUAUAUUUAUUCUUUACACAAAUUGCAGAGUGGCAUAGGUUACAAUAUCAGCUCUACAAUCUCACUUCUUCGGUUCCCCUUAUAUCUGAAUAACUUCAUGGUAGAUGUGUGGCCUGUCUUAUAUAAUAGAACGGAGAGGGCUCAUUGGGAGAAUUUGAUCAAACCAAAGAAUAGCAUUAUCAAGCUUAUUGGAAUCAAUUGGGGGUGUCAAACCUUCUAUCUCAAGGAUCUUAUCUGAAAAGAGAUCCAUUACUCUUUUCUUUCCUUCUUUGCCAUUUGUGCAACCGCUAUAGUGGACGUAAGCACAUCGAGAGAGGAAAUGCCACACGUCCUCCUCUUUCACGAUGGCCUACUCCCAACGAUUGAAGUUGCACUGGCCUUGAAGUGAUUCAUUAGAGGUCAUGACACCGACCGACAGAUCUUUUCUCCCGGUGCGGAAAAGGAGGCCUUAACAAUCAUCAGCUAGUUUGUCUUUGGACAAACUAUCGAUGAAAAUCAUAGAAGUGUGACCUGUGUUGCAGAAACGGUCAAUAAUUGUGAUAAUACAUAACUUGAUAUAAUUAAAGUGCGAGAUAUUUGAUCGAACAUGAACUGAGUAUACUGGGGAUUAGAAUGGUUCAGGGGUGAUGGUUUCGGG
This 6237-nucleotide long non-coding RNA is filed under the name Daucus carota (carrot). RNAcentral's name for it is "long non-coding RNA (DCAR_LNC004139)". Lineage: Eukaryota; Viridiplantae; Streptophyta; Magnoliopsida; Apiales; Apiaceae. The record is from RNAcentral.